Molecule: long non-coding RNA, 1752 nt
Organism: Phyllopteryx taeniolatus (common seadragon)
Lineage: Eukaryota; Metazoa; Chordata; Actinopteri; Syngnathiformes; Syngnathidae
Exons: 4
Source: RefSeq, a predicted model, not a curated record
CUUCAGCAACACACACAGAUAUGUGAUUUAGCAAUGCAGUGCGUCGGUGGAGGCAGAUUCAGCAUGCUUUAUGGGUCCCUGCUCAUUUUAGUGCGUCUCAGACGCGGGACGCACAUCAAACGAGAUCCUGUGUAUGGUAUUUAUUCAAUUAUAGUUUCUCUAAUUAAAGCAACAAACGGUUCAUGUUCGCUGAAGGAGGUGUGCUAUCGUUGUGAGGAACUUUUUCUAAAAAACGAAACAAAGGGCUAAACAGUCAGAAUGGCACCCAAGAUUAUAAAAAAGGGACCUGCUGAAGCACUUUUCAUAGAUGAACAGAAGGAUCUGAGCGUUGUGCAACCGUCAUUGACUGUGCGUCACGCAAUACAACAAAGCUGGAGUACCAAGAGAAAGGAGAACAUGGCAUAGAGAACUACCACACUGGAAGGCCGGAGCCGAGGUUCAAACACAGAACCUCAGAACUGUAAGGCAGAUAUGCUAACCAGAUGGCCGUCAUGCCGCCCCUUUUGCCGUUCAGAUCGAUAUUAACGUCAUAUGUGUUAUGACAGAAGAGGAGUUCGGACAGCAUUUCGUAAGAUAUGGAGACCGACUUGCACUCAGAGCAUUUUGUCGUCGGAGAACCCUGACAAACGAAAACUCGGGAGGAAUUGAGACUGUUAAGUACACGCUCAUGCGAAGUAUCAGAGAAAGGUUAGGGAACGAACGGAAAGCUACUGCCGACAGAGGCACAGCACACUCUGUUCGACAAAAAGGUGCCAUCAAAGUCAUACUAUUAUAUAGUAGAGCACAGAUCAAAUCCAGCUGAUCCUGCAAUGUAAACCAAGGCGCACAUCAGAUUCUCAGUUGGAGAUAUUUAGCUGCUGGGUGGUACUGCAGCCAACUGUGGACAACAAAGAAAUUAUUCAGUACUGAUGUGUUUGUGCAAUCUAUUCACAUUAAAAGUAUUUUAAAGGAAUUUGUAGUAAAUUAUUAGAGAUGUCAAAUACACAGAAGCAUAAAUACAGUACAUUGAAGUUGAUUUGUAAUUUUGGAGAGUUUGUGCACACUUCAGCUAAUUAUUUACAAUGCGUUUCUUGUAUUUGCAGUGUUCAUUAAAGACUGAUCAGUGUUUUUAAGCAUGGAUACAUAAAUAGAUAUAUAUGGCAUCAAAAUGUGGUACAUUAUGGGUAGACCUGUGGUCUUAUUCAAGGUCCAUCCAUCCAUUUUCUGAGCCACUUCUCCUCACUAGGGUCACGGACGUAAUGGAGCCUAUCCCAGCUAUCAUCGGGCAGGAGGCGGGGUCCACCCUGAACUGGUUGCCAGCCAAUCGCAGGGCAAAAUCUUACAGCACCUAGUAUUCCCAGGCAGUCUCCCAUCCAAGUACUAACCCAGCCCACACCUGGUUAGCUUCUGAGAUCAGACGAGAUCGGGCAUUCUCAGGACGAUCUUUGAGGAGACGAUCUUGGAGACAUCAGCACAGGAGGACUAGAAACAAUCAAGUGGCUCACACAGAGAGCUCCUUUGAUCUAGAUCCAGCUUUUCCAUUCUUGCUUGAUGUACAGCUUCAACUGUUCAACAGUCCGGGUUCUCCAUUGUCGUAUUAAAUAUUCUAAGUUAAUGAUUAUUUGCUAAAAAAAACAAUCAAAUUUAUCAGCUUGAACAUGAAAUAUCUCGUCUUUGUAGUGUAUUCAAUUAAAUAUGUUGAACAUGAUUUGCAAAUCAUUGUAUUCUGUUUUUAUUUAUGUUUAACACGUCCCAACUUCAUUGGAAUUGGGA